RNAcentral lists this ribosomal RNA (253 nucleotides) under uncultured bacterium. RNAcentral's name for it is "partial 16S ribosomal RNA". It matches the Rfam family "Bacterial small subunit ribosomal RNA", at positions 524 to 776 of the family's 1533-position model. The record is from RNAcentral.
UACGUAGGGUGCAAGCGUUAAUCGGAAUUACUGGGCGUAAAGCGUGCGCAGGCGGUUGUGCAAGACAGAUGUGAAAUCCCCGGGCUCAACCUGGGAACUGCAUUUGUGACUGCACGGCUGGAGUGCGGCAGAGGGGGAUGGAAUUCCGCGUGUAGCAGUGAAAUGCGUAGAUAUCAGGAGGAAUACCGAUGGCGAAGGCAGGUCUCUGGGCUAACACUGACGCUCAUGCACGAAAGCGUGGGGAGCAAACAGG